Molecule: ribosomal RNA, 749 nt
Filed under: uncultured methane-oxidizing archaeon
Lineage: Archaea
Description: bacterial SSU rRNA
Rfam family: Archaeal small subunit ribosomal RNA
Source: RNAcentral
UAACUUGCCCUUGGGUCUGGGAUAACCCCUGGGAAACUGGGGCUAAUACCGGAUAGAGCAUCGAUCGCUGGAAUGCCUGAUGCUCGAAAACUACGGUGCCCAAGGAUAGGUCUGCGGCUGAUUAGGUUGUUGUUGAUGUAAUGGACCAACAAGCCUACGAUCGGUACGGGUUGUGAGAGCAAUAGCCCGGAGAUGGGUUCUGAGAAAAGAACCCAGGUCCUACGGGACGCAUCAGGCGCGAAAACUUUACACUGUGCGAAAGCACGAUAAGGGAACUCUGAGUGCCUCCUAAGGAGGCUGUUCUAGUGUCUAAAAAGCAAUAGAAGUAAGGGCUGGGCAAGACCGGUGCCAGCCGCCGCGGUAACACCGGCAGCCCAAGUGGUAGCCACGUUUAUUGGGUCUAAAGCGUUCGUAGCCGGCUUGGUAAGUUCCUUGGUAAAUUUAGCCGCUUAACGGUUAAGCUUUCAGGGAAUACUGCUUAGCUUGGGACUGGGAGAGGUCAGAGGUACUCCAGGGGUAGGGGUGAAAUCCAUUAAUCCUUGGGGGACCACCGGUAGCGAAGGCGUCUGACCAGACCAGCUCCGACGGUGAGGGACGAAGGCUAGGGGCGCGAACCGGAUUAGAUACCCGGGUAGUCCUAGCUGUAAACGAUGCGGGCUAGGUGUUGGCAUUACUGCGAGUGGUGCCAGUGCCGAAGGGAAGCCGUUAAGCUCGCCAUCUGGGGAGUACGGUCGCAAGGCUWAACUUAA